This is a long non-coding RNA of Canis lupus familiaris (dog), 547 nucleotides long. RefSeq lists it as uncharacterized. The transcript has 4 exons. The record is from RefSeq and is a predicted model, not a curated record. Lineage: Eukaryota; Metazoa; Chordata; Mammalia; Carnivora; Canidae.
CUUCAAUAUAAUCUGCCUGGUUGCCUAACGUUAACAGAUACUAUUCUUUAAGAGCAAAGGAUAACAUCUAGAAGUAUGCUCCUACCUAAGAGAAAACAUUUCAUAAAAACUGACAUGCUGAAGAAACCAAGGCUUGGGGAUAAUAAGUGAUGUUGUCAAGAAUGCACCUUUACGAACUGAAAUGAGAAGAAUAUACAAUUUAUUAGGCAGUGGAUUCUGCUGGCCUGCCCAUGAAGCACAUGUACCCUGCUCUGUUAUCUGUCCAUGGUGAAAGGGCCUGCAGCUGAAGCUGCAGACUUACCAUCAGCUACAAUCCAAGUGGAACUGCUGUGGAGAUGAUGGAAAGUGAUCUUGAGUGAACAAAACAGGCAGCAUGGGGACCAGAAAUCUGGAGCUGGAUGGUGCUGGGUCUACCAGAGGCAUCUAGGGCAGAUCUGCUCUCAAAGUUUCCAGUAGCUCUGUGGGGUGAGAAAAUUGGUAACAGGUUAAACUUUCUGUGAUCAAUGGGUUUGGGAGAUGAGGUUGGAGAGGCAGGCUGGAGUAUGAC